This 489-nucleotide unclassified non-coding RNA is filed under the name Hevea brasiliensis (rubber tree). Lineage: Eukaryota; Viridiplantae; Streptophyta; Magnoliopsida; Malpighiales; Euphorbiaceae. The record is from RNAcentral.
GAACCCAACAGCUCUCCCCAUGAUGUGAUGACGUUGCAGCCAGAGUUGACCUUGAGCAUAUAGAAGUCUGUCAUCACCAAAGUUGUUGUCUCCUUUUGUAAGGACGUUAACUUCUCCAGUGUCUUUGCGCUCGUGAACCUUUAUUACUCUAUGAACAAUUGGAAUUUCACGUCCAUCAACAUUAAACACAACAAUUUCUCCCGCACGAAUAGGGUCCUUGCUCAUAUGCAAGAAAAGAAUGUCACCCCUUUUAAAGCCUGGUUCCAUACUUCCAGAGAGCACAACCACCACAGGUGACUCGCUGCCAGUUACACACAUCAAUGCUUUCCAUAUUAUAAGUGCUGACGUAACAAUCAUCCCAAGACUGAUUGCUUGAGUUACGAGUUGUCUGUACUGAAUUGACUUUAUCGAAUCGAUUUGCUCUCCGAUCCAUCCCAUUUUUGCGUCUCUCUGUUUUCUUCUCUGUUUCUCCUUUUGGUCUGAAAUCAA